UGGUCCUUCAAAUGCAAUAAAUGGUUUCACAUUCAUAAGCUUGCUCCCCUCACUCCAUAUUAUGGUUUUGGAUUUUAUCCAUGUUGAUACAUAUAGAUGUGAUUCAUGUAUACACAUAUGGAUGUGAUGGUUGAUGCAUAGUAUCCAGUUAUACAAAUAAAGCACAGUCUAUUUUUCCAUUCCUCCCCCCCCGCCCAGCACAGGAAGUUGGUUUCCAUGGUUUUGUUUUACAAAGUCGCGACAACAUAACUGCUCCGUGUAGGUACCAUUGUGACAACUAGAUCUGGAAUUCCUAGGUAGAAUUCAAAGGGAAAGCAUACUUUAAGUUGCAUGAGGAAUUGCCAAACAGACUCCAAAAUGGUGGAGCCAAUAAUGUGCCAGAGUAUCUGCUUCCCUACGUCCUCAGCAAAACUUGAUGUGUUUCGAUGUUAGAUAUUUUGUUGUUACAUGAACUUCUCAAGGAAAAUUUCUACAAGCGGAAGUUGAGAAAUUUGCAGUAUUUUCCCUCGAAUCAAAUGUCAAAGCAUAUCUGGAGAGACCCAAAACAACAAGGUGACAGUUGGGCUUAGGAUCUCUUGGACUUUUCUCUAGGUUUCUUGAAGGCCAAUCUGCCUUGAACCACGCAUCGGAAUGAAACUAAAUUGAUUUCCUUAUAUCAAGUUGAGCAGUAGCUUGGUAAGCACGAUAGUACAACCUCAGUAGAUUGUAUAAUGACUGCAUUCUAAUCUCAGAAGCAAAUGCAAUUGCAGGGGAAAAAAUCAUAUGGAGAUAAAGAAAAGACCUUAAGACUCCACGAUUUUGUAAAGGAGGAAAAUGUUGGAGAUUUUGACCUACACCCGUUGAAACAAAAUAUCACCUGGACCCGUUUUGAACCUCAUCAUACAUAUGACUCCUAAACUUUUUAUGUAAUCAGGUUAGCACGAAUGCAAAGCGUUUAACAUGUUCCGAUGCAAAACCAGAAGACGAAUUCCAAUUAUUCUUAACAUCCGCCCACUAACAUACCGUAAAUGAUUUACUUGGGAAUCUAUUGCAAUAAAGUUCACCUUCAGAAAGUGGCA
Long non-coding RNA from Leopardus geoffroyi (Geoffroy's cat), 1058 nucleotides. RefSeq lists it as uncharacterized. NCBI's taxonomy places the organism in Eukaryota, Metazoa, Chordata, Mammalia, Carnivora, Felidae. The transcript is spliced from 3 exons. The record is from RefSeq and is a predicted model, not a curated record.